AUGCCGGGCUCCAUCGCCUUCGGUCGCUUCGAUGACUCCUUCAGCUUGGCCUCUUUCAGGGCCUACAUCGCCGAGUUCAUCUCCACCCUCAUCUUCGUCUUCGCCGGCGUCGGCUCUGUCAUCGCCUACACCAAGGUGAGCGGCGGCGCGCCGCUUGACCCAUCCGGGCUGAUCGCCGUGGCGAUUUGCCACGGGUUUGGGCUGUUCGUCGCGGUCGCCAUCGGCGCCAACAUCUCCGGCGGCCAUGUGAACCCUGCCGUCACCUUCGGCCUCGCCCUCGGCGGCCAGAUCACCAUCCUCACCGGCAUCUUCUACUGGGUUGCCCAGCUCCUCGGCGCCAUCGUCGGCGCCUUCCUCGUCCAGUUCUGCACCGGCGUGGUACGUAUCCUCAGCCCAUGCAUAUGUGUGCGCUUUUCCGGCCGGUGGAGCACGAAAACGAACGACACUAAUACGGACUGUUUCCUUUCUCAGGCCACCCCUACACACGGGCUUUCCGGCGUGGGCGCCUUUGAGGGCGUCGUGAUGGAGAUCAUCGUCACCUUCGGGCUCGUCUACACCGUGUACGCCACCGCCGCCGACCCCAAGAAGGGAUCCCUCGGCACCAUCGCCCCCAUCGCCAUCGGCUUCAUCGUCGGCGCCAACAUCCUCGUGGCCGGCCCCUUCUCCGGCGGGUCCAUGAACCCUGCACGCUCCUUCGGCCCCGCCGUUGCCAGCGGCGACUUCACCAACAUCUGGGUCUACUGGGCCGGCCCGCUCAUCGGCGGUGGCCUCGCCGGCGUCGUCUACCGAUACCUAUACAUGUGCGACGACCACAGCCCCGUCGCCGGCAACGACUACUAA
Molecule: ribosomal RNA, 840 nt
Filed under: Triticum aestivum (bread wheat)
Lineage: Eukaryota; Viridiplantae; Streptophyta; Magnoliopsida; Poales; Poaceae
Description: partial small subunit ribosomal RNA
Source: RNAcentral